This 2140-nucleotide ribosomal RNA is filed under the name Escherichia coli. Its description in RNAcentral is "partial 23S ribosomal RNA". It matches the Rfam family "Bacterial large subunit ribosomal RNA", at positions 1 to 2167 of the family's 2925-position model. The record is from RNAcentral. Lineage: Bacteria; Pseudomonadati; Pseudomonadota; Gammaproteobacteria; Enterobacterales; Enterobacteriaceae.
GUUAAGCGACUAAGCGUACACGGUGGAUGCCCUGGCAGUCAGAGGCGAUGAAGGACGUGCUAAUCUGCGAUAAGCGUCGGUAAGGUGAUAUGAACCGUUAUAACCGGCGAUUUCCGAAUGGGGAAACCCAGUGUGUUUCGACACACUAUCAUUAACUGAAUCCAUAGGUUAAUGAGGCGAACCGGGGGAACUGAAACAUCUAAGUACCCCGAGGAAAAGAAAUCAACCGAGAUUCCCCCAGUAGCGGCGAGCGAACGGGGAGCAGCCCAGAGCCUGAAUCAGUGUGUGUGUUAGUGGAAGCGUCUGGAAAGGCGCGCGAUACAGGGUGACAGCCCCGUACACAAAAAUGCACAUGCUGUGAGCUCGAUGAGUAGGGCGGGACACGUGGUAUCCUGUCUGAAUAUGGGGGGACCAUCCUCCAAGGCUAAAUACUCCUGACUGACCGAUAGUGAACCAGUACCGUGAGGGAAAGGCGAAAAGAACCCCGGCGAGGGGAGUGAAAAAGAACCUGAAACCGUGUACGUACAAGCAGUGGGAGCACGCUUAGGCGUGUGACUGCGUACCUUUUGUAUAAUGGGUCAGCGACUUAUAUUCUGUAGCAAGGUUAACCGAAUAGGGGAGCCGAAGGGAAACCGAGUCUUAACUGGGCGUUAAGUUGCAGGGUAUAGACCCGAAACCCGGUGAUCUAGCCAUGGGCAGGUUGAAGGUUGGGUAACACUAACUGGAGGACCGAACCGACUAAUGUUGAAAAAUUAGCGGAUGACUUGUGGCUGGGGGUGAAAGGCCAAUCAAACCGGGAGAUAGCUGGUUCUCCCCGAAAGCUAUUUAGGUAGCGCCUCGUGAAUUCAUCUCCGGGGGUAGAGCACUGUUUCGGCAAGGGGGUCAUCCCGACUUACCAACCCGAUGCAAACUGCGAAUACCGGAGAAUGUUAUCACGGGAGACACACGGCGGGUGCUAACGUCCGUCGUGAAGAGGGAAACAACCCAGACCGCCAGCUAAGGUCCCAAAGUCAUGGUUAAGUGGGAAACGAUGUGGGAAGGCCCAGACAGCCAGGAUGUUGGCUUAGAAGCAGCCAUCAUUUAAAGAAAGCGUAAUAGCUCACUGGUCGAGUCGGCCUGCGCGGAAGAUGUAACGGGGCUAAACCAUGCACCGAAGCUGCGGCAGCGACGCUUAUGCGUUGUUGGGUAGGGGAGCGUUCUGUAAGCCUGCGAAGGUGUGCUGUGAGGCAUGCUGGAGGUAUCAGAAGUGCGAAUGCUGACAUAAGUAACGAUAAAGCGGGUGAAAAGCCCGCUCGCCGGAAGACCAAGGGUUCCUGUCCAACGUUAAUCGGGGCAGGGUGAGUCGACCCCUAAGGCGAGGCCGAAAGGCGUAGUCGAUGGGAAACAGGUUAAUAUUCCUGUACUUGGUGUUACUGCGAAGGGGGGACGGAGAAGGCUAUGUUGGCCGGGCGACGGUUGUCCCGGUUUAAGCGUGUAGGCUGGUUUUCCAGGCAAAUCCGGAAAAUCAAGGCUGAGGCGUGAUGACGAGGCACUACGGUGCUGAAGCAACAAAUGCCCUGCUUCCAGGAAAAGCCUCUAAGCAUCAGGUAACAUCAAAUCGUACCCCAAACCGACACAGGUGGUCAGGUAGAGAAUACCAAGGCGCUUGAGAGAACUCGGGUGAAGGAACUAGGCAAAAUGGUGCCGUAACUUCGGGAGAAGGCACGCUGAUAUGUAGGUGAAGUCCCUCGCGGAUGGAGCUGAAAUCAGUCGAAGAUACCAGCUGGCUGCAACUGUUUAUUAAAAACACAGCACUGUGCAAACACGAAAGUGGACGUAUACGGUGUGACGCCUGCCCGGUGCCGGAAGGUUAAUUGAUGGGGUCAGCGCAAGCGAAGCUCUUGAUCGAAGCCCCGGUAAACGGCGGCCGUAACUAUAACGGUCCUAAGGUAGCGAAAUUCCUUGUCGGGUAAGUUCCGACCUGCACGAAUGGCGUAAUGAUGGCCAGGCUGUCUCCACCCGAGACUCAGUGAAAUUGAACUCGCUGUGAAGAUGCAGUGUACCCGCGGCAAGACGGAAAGACCCCGUGAACCUUUACUAUAGCUUGACACUGAACAUUGAGCCUUGAUGUGUAGGAUAGGUGGGAGGCUUUGAAGUGUGG